ACGCUGGCGGCAUGCUUUACACAUGCAAGUCGGACGGCAGCACAGAGAAGCUUGCUUCUUGGGUGGCGAGUGGUGAACGGGUGAGUAAUAUAUCGGAACGUACCGAGUAAUGGGGGAUAACUAAUCGAAAGAUUAGCUAAUACCGCAUAUUCUCUGAGGAGGAAAGCAGGGGACCUUCGGGCCUUGCGUUAUUCGAGCGGCCGAUAUCUGAUUAGCUAGUUGGUGGGGUAAAGGCCUACCAAGGCGACGAUCAGUAGCGGGUCUGAGAGGAUGAUCCGCCACACUGGGACUGAGACACGGCCCAGACUCCUACGGGAGGCAGCAGUGGGGAAUUUUGGACAAUGGGCGCAAGCCUGAUCCAGCCAUGCCGCGUGUCUGAAGAAGGCCUUCGGGUUGUAAAGGACUUUUGUCAGGGAAGAAAAGGCUGUUGCUAAUAUCGACAGCUGAUGACGGUACCUGAAGAAUAAGCACCGGCUAACUACGUGCCAGCAGCCGCGGUAAUACGUAGGGUGCGAGCGUUAAUCGGAAUUACUGGGCAUAAAGCGAGCGCAGACGGUUACUUAAGCAGGAUGUGAAAUCCCCGGGCUCAACCUGGGAACUGCGUUCUGAACUGGGUGACUAGAGUGUGUCAGAGGGAGGUAGAAUUCCACGUGUAGCAGUGAAAUGCGUAGAGAUGUGGAGGAAUACCGAUGGCGAAGGCAGCCUCCUGGGAUAACACUGACGUUCAUGCUCGAAAGCGUGGGUAGCAAACAGGAUUAGAUACCCUGGUAGUCCACGCCCUAAACGAUGUCAAUUAGCUGUUGGGCCACUUGAUUGCUUAGUAGCGUAGCUAACGCGUGAAAUUGACCGCCUGGGGAGUACGGUCGCAAGAUUAAAACUCAAAGGAAUUGACGGGGACCCGCACAAGCG
Molecule: ribosomal RNA, 909 nt
Filed under: uncultured bacterium
Lineage: Bacteria
Description: bacterial SSU rRNA
Rfam family: Bacterial small subunit ribosomal RNA
Source: RNAcentral